UGGGGAAUAUUGCACAAUGGGCGCAAGCCUGAUGCAGCCAUGCCGCGUGUGUGAAGAAGGCCUUCGGGUUGUAAAGCACUUUCAGCGAGGAGGAAGGUGGUGGACUUAAUACGUUCAUCAAUUGACGUUACUCGCAGAAGAAGCACCGGCUAACUCCGUGCCAGCAGCCGCGGUAAUACGGAGGGUGCAAGCGUUAAUCGGAAUUACUGGGCGUAAAGCGCACGCAGGCGGUUUGUUAAGUCAGAUGUGAAAUCCCCGGGCUCAACCUGGGAACUGCAUUUGAAACUGGCAAGCUAGAGUCUCGUAGAGGGGGGUAGAAUUCCAGGUGUAGCGGUGAAAUGCGUAGAGAUCUGGAGGAAUACCGGUGGCGAAGGCGGCCCCCUGGACGAAGACUGACGCUCAGGUGCGAAAGCGUGGGGAGCAAACAGGAUUAGAUACCCCUGGUAGUCCACGCUGUAAACGAUGUCGAUUUUGGAGGUUGUGCCCUUGAGGCGUGGCUUCCGGAGCUAACGCGUUAAAUCGACCGCCUGGGGAGUACGGCCGCAAGGUUAAAACUCAAAGGAAUUGACGGGGUCAUAGCUGUUUCCU
RNAcentral lists this ribosomal RNA (588 nucleotides) under uncultured bacterium. RNAcentral's name for it is "partial 16S ribosomal RNA". It matches the Rfam family "Bacterial small subunit ribosomal RNA", at positions 355 to 1375 of the family's 1533-position model. The record is from RNAcentral.